RNAcentral lists this ribosomal RNA (301 nucleotides) under uncultured bacterium. RNAcentral's name for it is "partial 16S ribosomal RNA". It matches the Rfam family "Bacterial small subunit ribosomal RNA", at positions 509 to 807 of the family's 1533-position model. The record is from RNAcentral.
CAGUCGCCACGGUAAGACAGAGGAUGCAAGCGUUAAUCGGAUUUACUGGGCGUAAAGCGUGCGUAGGCGGCUUCUUAAGUCGGAUGUGAAAUCCCUGAGCUUAACUUAGGAAUUGCAUUCGAUACUGGGAAGCUAGAGUAUGGGAGAGGAUGGUAGAAUUCCAGGUGUAGCGGUGAAAUGCGUAGAGAUCUGGAGGAAUACCGAUGGCGAAGGCAGCCAUCUGGCCUAAUACUGACGCUGAGGUACGAAAGCAUGGGGAGCAAACAGGAUUAGAUACCCGAGUAGUCCCUGUCUCUUAUAC